CCCUUAGAUGUUCUGGGCCGCACGCGCGCUACACUGAUGCAUUCAACGAGCCUAUCCUUGACCGACAGGUCCGGGUAAUCUUUGAAUCUGCAUCGUGACGGGGAUAGAUUAUUGCAAUUAUUAAUCUUCAACGAGGAAUGCCUAGUAGGCGCAAGUCAUCAGCUUGCGUCGAUUACGUCCCUGCCCUUUGUACACACCGCCCGUCGCUCCUACCGAUUGAGUGGUCCGGUGAAUAAUUCGGACUGAGGAUUUAGGCAGUUUCUGUCUUUAUCUUCGGGAAGUCUAGUGAACCUUAUCACUUAGAGGAAGGAGAAGUCGUAACA
This 323-nucleotide ribosomal RNA is filed under the name uncultured eukaryote. RNAcentral describes it as "partial 18S ribosomal RNA". It matches the Rfam family "Eukaryotic small subunit ribosomal RNA", at positions 1470 to 1796 of the family's 1831-position model. The record is from RNAcentral.